UACGGAGGAUGCGAGCGUUAUCCGGAUUUAUUGGGUUUAAAGGGUGCGUAGGCGGACUGUCAAGUCAGCGGUAAAAUUGAGAGGCUCAACCUCUUCCCGCCGUUGAAACUGGUGGUCUUGAGUGGACGAGAAGUACGCGGAGUGCGUGGUGUAGCGGUGAAAUGCAUAGAUAUCACGCAGAACUCCGAUUGCGAAGGCAGCGUACCGGCAUCCAACUGACGCUGAGGCACGAAAGCGUGGGGAUCAAACAGG
This 252-nucleotide ribosomal RNA is filed under the name uncultured bacterium. Its description in RNAcentral is "partial 16S ribosomal RNA". It matches the Rfam family "Bacterial small subunit ribosomal RNA", at positions 524 to 776 of the family's 1533-position model. The record is from RNAcentral.